CAGUAGCGCGGGAAUACGAAGGGGGCUAGCGUUGCUCGGAAUGACUGGGCGUAAAGGGCGCGUAGGCGGCGAUCAAAGUCAGGCGUGAAAUUCCUGGGCUCAACCUGGGGGCUGCGCUUGAUACUUGGUUGCUUGAGUGGGGAAGAGGGUCGUGGAAUUCCCAGUGUAGAGGUGAAAUUCGUAGAUAUUGGGAAGAACACCGGUGGCGAAGGCGGCGACCUGGUCCUUGACUGACGCUGAGGCGCGAAAGCGUGGGGAGCAAACAGGAUUAGAUACCCGGGUAGUCCCUGUCUCUUAUACA
This 301-nucleotide ribosomal RNA is filed under the name uncultured bacterium. RNAcentral's name for it is "partial 16S ribosomal RNA". It matches the Rfam family "Bacterial small subunit ribosomal RNA", at positions 509 to 808 of the family's 1533-position model. The record is from RNAcentral.